AUAGAUUAAACAAAAUCCAUGUAUUACUUAGAGGAAAAUUAAUUGUAGAUUGUAGGUACAGUAUGUAGGUGGAGAGUUGAUGUUCACACGUCAUGCAGUGUUUGGCCUUGAUGGUGUAUGUUCCUUAUUGAGAUGUCAUCAGACUCUGAAGAGGAGAAUGGUGUAAGGCGUGCAGCGGAUGACAGAGAUGACAGUGAUGGUGGCAUGUACGAUCGUAGAUCGAGAUCUAGAUCUCGUUCUCGAUCAGCUGAGGGGAGUCAUCACUCAGAUAAUAAUGGGAACAGCAGGCUUCGUGGUUCAGACGAGGAAAGGUCACCUGACAGGAAGGAAAAUGGCUUGAGGGGAGACUCUGACAACGAGAAGAAUGACAAUCGAAGGCAAUAUAGCCGAUCAAGAACUCCAGAAAACCAAGAAAUGGUGGAGUGGGGCAGGGAUGCUGAUGAAAAGCGCCUCUCACGCAGCCGUAGUAAGAGCAAGCCAAGAGACCAAGACCCAGCCAAGGAACGAAAGUCGAGCUCCUCAUCUUCAUCAAAGAAGAAAUCUCGAGCAAGAAGAUCAAGAUCUCGCUCCAGAAGUAAGAGGCGCUCUCGCUCACGGACCAGGCGCUCUCGCUCCAGAAGCCGAAAGAGGUCAAGGUCGAGGUCUCGUUCUCGAGGUUCUAGGUCUCGAAGGAGGUCAAGAUCUCGGUCAAGAAGGCGAUCAAGAUCGAGGUCAAGGAGUGGAACACCUGUAGAUGGAGCUCGUCUCCAUGUGGCAGAACUAGAUGUUGACACUCGUAAACGUGACUUGGAGCGAGUGUUUGAGAAAUAUGGGCGUCUGAGAGAAAUUUGGAUGGCACGAAAUCCCCCGUGUUUCGCAUUUGUUGUCUACGCCCACCAGAAAGAUGCUGAUCGUGCUCUUAAAGAGACAGAUGGCAUUAUGAUUGGUCACUGCCGAAUCAAGGUAACUCAAGCAAGACCCCGUGUACGUGGAGGUCGAAUGAGGGGAGGCUAUGAUCCAAACUUGCGCUGCUACCAGUGUGGGGAGUUGGGUCAUUUCUCCCGGAAUUGUACCGACACAAAGUUUGGCUACAAACGACCCCCAACUCCUCCAGGGAUGUGUUAUGGUUUGGUAUUGUGGUCAUGUGGUUGGGUUAUUGGUGCGGUGGGGAGAGGCGCCUCCAGAGUGCCUUGAGAAGCGUGAUGAUGGCACAACUGCGGUGGCACAGCCGCGCUAACUCCACACUUCUAGGAUGACCUUCAGGCCAGAAGAUAGCAGGAGGAAGAAUGCUUAUCUGGAGUAGCAGCCUAGACAAGAUUACUCCAGACAUGUGGUAUGGCGGGUUCCACAGCUUAGGGGUUAAUUUUGAGUCGUGUGUUAAUGUGUUACUGUUGACAACGUAUGAGUUGAAAGACGGUGAAGAAGUCAGCAGAGUGAGGCAUGGUAAAGGACAACAUUCGGCAUGGGAGAUGGCUAAGAAGUCCACUUUCAGUGUGUGAGAUGGUAACGAACUUCAUGUUGGGAGAUGGUAACGGACUACGUGUUGUGAGAUGGUACCGACGUGUUGGGAGAUGGUAACGGACUACGUAUUGGGAGAUGGUAAUGGACUACAUGUUAGGAGAUGAGCCCACAGAGGAAGAGCUCGCCACAGGUCACGAUCCAGGUCACGCUCUUGGCAUCGUAGCCGCUCCAGAUCUCGUUCUUGAGGAACAGGUCAGCAAGUUCAUUUGGAUUUGGUUGCGGUAUUAUUAAGCACCCCAGAACAGCUAUUGUGGGUUUCUGAAAAACCUGUUUGGAGGACCAGAAUGAAUGCUGAAUGAAGAUCAAAGUAUAAAUUUCCAGGUCAUUUGGGAAAGUUACAAGAAUGACUCUACUGUAUUCUUCAAAUUUAUGAAACACUUCAUUUUCAUUUGGUGAGCUUCAUUAUUUACUUUUUUUUAGAAGCAUUGAGGAUCAAAUUAACAAAGUUACAUGAAAUGAGAGCUGAAUGUGGUCACUGCUGGCACAAAUUAGGAAAUGGUACCUGCAUCUCAUAGAUCUGGCUUUUUUAAUUUGAUACAUUAUUUGUAUUAUGUGUUAGUUUAUGUACUUCAUGUUUAGUUAUAAUUGAAUAUUGUAGUUGUCAGUCAUUCUUUCCCACCUGCCAUCUCUGGAGGUCAUGACAGUUGUGUUCAGCUAAGUACUCUGUGAAGUGUUUCUGGCUAAGUGGAGCUCCACCACUUGUAUUAGGCACAACAUUCCUUUUCUUUCUUAUGUUUGGAGUAUGUAAUAAUCUUUUAAUAAAUUAAAAGAUAACUUUGCUUGAAUGUAUAUUCCUUACUUUUAACUUUUAAUAUAUUGCCAUGGCAAAACAACUUCACUAGUCCUUAGCAGAAUAUAACUGUUUGUUGGAGAACGUAGGAGUCAAAACAGCAUGAGAUCCCACUGACUGGGAAAAUCAGUUGAAACAUUUCAGUAAUGUCAUCUCUUUCUCUUUUGAAGUUAUAUUUGGAUAUUGAACAGAAAAUCCAUCAUUUACACCUAGUGGAUUAUCUGACUAAAACCUUUUCUUACCACACUAAUCAGAUGCCAGAAUCUCCUCCACCUCCUUGACCAUUACCCAGGUAACAGAAUGUGGUAGAAAAAAAAAAUCUGACAAAUAUGAUUACAUUAAAGUUGUGUAGCUGUACACUUGGCAGAUUACAUCAGUUAUAUUUUGUAGUAUAUACACUUAAAGGUUGAUAGUUACAUGUAGACCCUUGAUAAAUAUGUCAGGUUGGUUAACAAUCUAUUGGCAGAUUUUAUGUUAUGAGUUACAGAAAUAGUCGUGUUAAACAUAAAAAAAUUAUAAUAUAAGUUUAUUGCAUUGAGCUUUUCUUGGCUAAAGACUCUGCUUGUGGGAUUCAGCAGAUGGGGGAGUGACAAAAUCAGUGAUGUAGUGGUUAGUUUUUUUAUUGGAAAUGUUGUCGAUCAAUGUAUUUUGAAUUCUUGAUUAUUGUUGUUUGCAAAUGUCUACUCACUGGGCACAUUCACUUCAUUGCAUUACACACAACACCACUGAAAUUUUUAACAGUUCAACAAAAAUAAAAUGCAUAGAUGUCUCAAUGUGACCAGCAAAAAAUAAUUACCAUUAAACACAUUUCAUGCAGUAUUUGGUGUUUCGUUUCUUAUUGUAUCAACAAAAAGUUUAUUAAGAGUUAACUUUGUACAUUUCAAAGUAAGAGGUUCACUAGUCCAGUGAGUGGCAAGCUAAUGGCCAUCCUUCCCCAAGCCUUGAGGCUAUUAUAAUUACACAUUGCCUAGUCACCAGUCGCAAAAUACACAACAUUUUUAUUCACCCUUUACAACACAUGGGACUUUUGUUGCCACUGGUCACUGUUGAACAAUUUGUGGCGACUUAAAAAUUUUGAGAAAUUCUCUUGAGCUGGUUGAUUGUAAAUGUGGGAGCUUUGUAAAGAAUACCUAUUAAAUGUGUGAUUGUUCAUAGCUUUAUUUUUAAGAGUGAGCUCAAGUGUUUGUUAAUUAAGUAAAAAAAAAACUAAAAAUGGGUAUUUUAUUGGGUAAAUAAUGGAUAAUGGGGAGAGGAUGGCAACACAUACUGCAUAUCAGUACUGUAUAUCGGUGACAAGUAGACACUGUUCUUAUAUUAUAGGGCCAACAGCUAAUGUUAUGUAACCAGACUUUAUUUGCAGUUAUUAAGUAAUUUGGUUUUCACAGUAAAUGCUUUUGAACUGAAUUGUAUUGGUGAUUAGCUUUCCCUUCACUUUUGUCCAGUAUCAUAGGUCCAGGGGAUACUAUAUAAGAUAUUAUAUCUCUUUGAAAGGGAAAGUGAAAAGGGUAAGAAAAGGCAGAUUAAAAAUGUGUAUUUUAAUUGUUUGUGUUUUAAGUAGAAAUAACAAUUGCUACAACAGCCUAGUCUGGUAUGACAAAAGCUAAUAUUUCCAUAGCUUAUAGUCAGACAUUAUCAAUCAUUUUGUUGUCCUAGACCUGUGUGAUAGGUCGUGAAAUUAGUGAAAUAUUUGAUCAGGGAAGAAUAUUUGUUUUAUUUUUUGUCCUGAUCGAGGGUUAUACGUUGUCAUCACUAUAGUUAAAGUGUUGUUUUUUUUAAGUACACCAAGGAAAUAUAUGACAUAGUGGGCAAUAGUUGUGUGUGUAUUUUUGUUAAGUAUGAUAUAUUCAGUAGUUUAAAACUAUGAUUACUGUGAGCCUUAAGUUUGUAUGCAGUUUUUAAGAAAUGAUUAUUCACUGUCUUAUGAUUUUUAUUUUUAAGGGUUUGUUAAAGGAUUAAAUGGCUUGUAAGAAAGUGCAUUUGUUGGCUUGUAAAGAGCAAUGUUUUUUUGUUUUUUAAUGAAUUCAUGAACUACAGGGGGUAGUUGUAAAUAAAAUAUUAGAAUUUAUAACUUUUGCUAGAAAUUAUAUUAGGUGGGAGGGGGGGUGAUGAGGUUAUUACAUAGUGCAGGCCCUAACAUGGGUCUAGGGCAAGAUUAGUUUACUGUUUUGUCAAUUGAACAGUUGACCAAAAGUAAUUGGCUUAUUUUUGUUGUCAUUGGUUUAUUUGAUUGUAAUUUAGUGAAUGGUUACAAGAAAAUGAAAGUUACAUGUACAACAGUGUUGUUUUGAUUGUGGAUUAAAAUUGACCAACAGUGUAUUUUGGUUGUGUACAUGGAUUAAUAAAUCUUGAUUUAUUUC
RNA transcript from Homarus americanus (American lobster), 4647 nucleotides. It is a transcript of the gene named arginine/serine-rich coiled-coil protein 2-like, with no coding region annotated. Lineage: Eukaryota; Metazoa; Arthropoda; Malacostraca; Decapoda; Nephropidae. The record is from RefSeq and is a predicted model, not a curated record. The transcript is spliced from 9 exons.